Molecule: non-coding RNA, 72 nt
Organism: Ictidomys tridecemlineatus (thirteen-lined ground squirrel)
Lineage: Eukaryota; Metazoa; Chordata; Mammalia; Rodentia; Sciuridae
Source: Rfam
UGGGUUGUGGCUCAGCGGUAGAGCACUCACCUAGCACAUGUGAAGCCCUGAGUUCAAUCCUCAGCACCAUAU